Schistosoma mattheei is the source of this 47-nucleotide non-coding RNA. The record is from Rfam. NCBI's taxonomy places the organism in Eukaryota, Metazoa, Platyhelminthes, Trematoda, Strigeidida, Schistosomatidae.
GCACUGCUGAUGAGUCCCAUUACUAGGACGAAACGGCCGUUCAGUGC